This 271-nucleotide ribosomal RNA is filed under the name uncultured bacterium. Its description in RNAcentral is "partial 16S ribosomal RNA". It matches the Rfam family "Bacterial small subunit ribosomal RNA", at positions 333 to 618 of the family's 1533-position model. The record is from RNAcentral.
UUGACCCUACGGGACGCAGCAGUGGGGAAUAUUGGGCAAUGGGCGCAAGCCUGACCCAGCAACGCCGCGUGAAGGAAGAAGGCUUUCGGGUUGUAAACUUCUUUUAUGAGGGACGAAAGAAAUGACGGUACCUCAUGAAUAAGCCACGGCUAACUACGUGCCAGCAGCCGCGGUAAUACGUAGGUGGCAAGCGUUAUCCGGAUUUACUGGGUGUAAAGGGCGUGGAGGCGGGACUGCAAGUCAGAUGUGAAGAUUAUGGGCUCAACCCAUA